This 588-nucleotide ribosomal RNA is filed under the name Zetaproteobacteria bacterium S2.5. Its description in RNAcentral is "bacterial SSU rRNA". It matches the Rfam family "Bacterial small subunit ribosomal RNA", at positions 338 to 917 of the family's 1533-position model. The record is from RNAcentral. Lineage: Bacteria; Pseudomonadati; Pseudomonadota; Candidatius Mariprofundia.
CCUACGGGAGGCAGCAGUGGGGAACAUUGCACAAUGGGGGAAACCCUGAUGCAGCGACGCCGCGUGCGGGAAGAAGGCCUUCGGGUUGUAAACCGCUUUCAAUUGGGAAGAAGAGAUGAGUGCUAAUAUCACUCUGAUUUGACGGUACCUUUAGAAGAAGCACCGGCUAAUUUCGUGCCAGCAGCCGCGGUAAUACGAAAGGUACAAGCGUUGUUCGGAUUUACUGGGCGUAAAGAGAUCGUAGGUGGUUUGUUAAGUCGGAUGUGAAAUCCCGGGGCUCAACCUCGGAACUGCAUUCGAUACUGGCAGACUAGAGUAUGGGAGGGGUAAGCGGAAUUCCGUGUGUAGCAGUGAAAUGCGUAGAUAUACGGAGGAACACCUGAGGCGAAGGCGGCUUACUGGACCAAUACUGACACUGAGGAUCGAAAGCGUGGGUAGCAAACAGGAUUAGAUACCCUGGUAGUCCACGCCCUAAACGAUGUCUACUAGCCGUAGCGGGUAUCGACCCCUGCUGUGGCGAAGCUAACGCGAUAAGUAGACCGCCUGGGGAGUACGGUCGCAAGAUUAAAACUCAAAGGAAUUGACGGA